RNAcentral lists this ribosomal RNA (608 nucleotides) under uncultured bacterium. Its description in RNAcentral is "bacterial SSU rRNA". It matches the Rfam family "Bacterial small subunit ribosomal RNA", at positions 110 to 753 of the family's 1533-position model. The record is from RNAcentral.
GUAACAUGUGGGAAUCUGCCUUGUGGUUCAGGACAACAUUGGGAAACCGAUGCUAAUACUGGAUAAGCCCUUACGGGGAAAGUUUUAAUGCCAUAAGAUGAGCCCGCAUUUGAUUAGUUAGUUGAUGAGGUAAUGGCUCACCAAGACAAUGAUCAAUAGCUGAUCUGAGAGGAUGAUCAGCCACACUGGGACUGAGACACGGCCCAGACUCCUACGGGAGGCAGCAGUGGGGAAUCUUGCACAAUGGAGGAAACUCUGAUGCAGCGAUGCCGCGUGAGUGAAGAAGGCCUUUGGGUUGUAAAGCUCUUUUGUAGGGGAAGAUAAUGACUGUACCCUAAGAAUAAGGUCCGGCUAACUUCGUGCCAGCAGCCGCGGUAAUACGAAGGGACCUAGCGUAGUUCGGAAUUACUGGGCGUAAAGCACGCGUAGGCCGUUGAGUUAGUUAAUUGUGAAAUCCCAAAGCUUAACUUUGGAACUGCAAUUAAAACUGCUCGACUAGAGUUUGAUAGAGGAAAGCGGAAUACAUAGUGUAGAGGUGAAAUUCGUAGAUAUUAUGUAGAACACCAGUUGCGAAGGCGGCUUUCUGGAUCAACACUGACGCUGAGGCG